AUUUAAGUUGAGUUUUAGGAUUGAUUUGAUGAAAGUAAAUUGCUAAUAUUAUUAGCUAAUUAUGAAUUUUUAUUAAAUCAACUCUGAAACUCGAAUUCAAC
Non-coding RNA from Gossypium raimondii (Peruvian cotton), 101 nucleotides. The record is from Rfam. Lineage: Eukaryota; Viridiplantae; Streptophyta; Magnoliopsida; Malvales; Malvaceae.